RNAcentral lists this ribosomal RNA (253 nucleotides) under uncultured bacterium. Its description in RNAcentral is "partial 16S ribosomal RNA". It matches the Rfam family "Bacterial small subunit ribosomal RNA", at positions 524 to 776 of the family's 1533-position model. The record is from RNAcentral.
UACGAAGGGGGCUAGCGUUGUUCGGAUUUACUGGGCGUAAAGCGCACGUAGGCGGAUAGUUUAGUCAGAGGUAAAAGCCCAGGGCUCAACCUUGGAACUGCCUUUGAUACUGGCUAUCUUGAGUUCGGGAGAGGUGAGUGGAAUGCCGAGUGUAGAGGUGAAAUUCGUAGAUAUUCGGCGGAACACCAGUGGCGAAGGCGACUCACUGGCCCGAUACUGACGCUGAGGCGCGAAAGCGUGGGGAGCAAACAGG